RNAcentral lists this ribosomal RNA (550 nucleotides) under uncultured bacterium. RNAcentral's name for it is "bacterial SSU rRNA". It matches the Rfam family "Bacterial small subunit ribosomal RNA", at positions 355 to 896 of the family's 1533-position model. The record is from RNAcentral.
UAGGGAAUCUUCCACAAUGGACGCAAGUCUGAUGGAGCAACGCCGCGUGAGUGAAGAAGGUCUUCGGAUCGUAAAACUCUGUUGUUAGAGAAGAACACGAGUGAGAGUAACUGUUCAUUCGAUGACGGUAUCUAACCAGCAAGUCACGGCUAACUACGUGCCAGCAGCCGCGGUAAUACGUAGGUGGCAAGCGUUGUCCGGAUUUAUUGGGCGUAAAGGGAACGCAGGCGGUCUUUUAAGUCUGAUGUGAAAGCCUUCGGCUUAACCGGAGUAGUGCAUUGGAAACUGGAAGACUUGAGUGCAGAAGAGGAGAGUGGAAUUCCAUGUGUAGCGGUGAAAUGCGUAGAUAUAUGGAGGAACACCGGUGGCGAAAGCGGCUCUCUGGUCUGUAACUGACGCUGAGGCUCGAAAGCGUGGGGAGCGAACAGGAUUAGAUACCCUGGUAGUCCACGCCGUAAACGAUGAGUGCUAGGUGUUAGGUCCUUUCCGGGACUUAGUGCCGCAGCUAACGCAUUAAGCACUCCGCCUGGGGAGUACGACCGCAAGGUUG